UCAAAUGAAUUGACGGGGAGCACCACAACGGGUGGAGCUUGCGGUUUAAUUGGAUUCAACGCCGGAAAUCUUACCGGGACCGACAGCAAUAUGAAGGCCAGGCUGAAGACUUUGCCGGAUUAGCUGAGAGGUGGUGCAUGGCCGCCGUCAGUUCGUACUGUGAAGCAUCCUGUUAAGUCAGGCAACGAGCGAGACCCACGCCCACAGUUGCCAGCGUACUCUCCGGAGUGACGGGUACACUGUGGGACCGCCGCUGCUAAAGCGGAGGAAGGAAUGGGCAACGGUAGGUCAGUAUGCCCCGAAUAUCCCGGGCUACACGCGAGCUACAAUGGUUGGUACAAUGGGUAUCUACCCCGAAAGGGGACGGGAAUCUCCUAAAACCAAUCUUAGUUCGGAUUGAGGGCUGCAACUCGCCCUCAUGAAGCUGGAAUCCGUAGUAAUCGCGUUUCAACAGAACGCGGUGAAUACGUCCCUGCUCCUU
Molecule: ribosomal RNA, 481 nt
Filed under: uncultured Methanosaeta sp.
Lineage: Archaea; Methanobacteriati; Methanobacteriota; Methanomicrobia; Methanotrichales; Methanotrichaceae
Description: bacterial SSU rRNA
Rfam family: Archaeal small subunit ribosomal RNA
Source: RNAcentral